CCGGCCUUUCAGUGACUCUAACUAAACCUUAUCAUUACCUUCUCAGCCUCUCUCUCUCCUCUUCUCCAUUAGUCCGUCCGUCCUUCACCUCGCUCCUCAGCUCCAUGUAUGGAGCUUUCCUAGGUAGAUGCAUGGCGCCUACAACGAGGAACCAGCAGCAAGCAAGAUCCAGUACUCAUCAUACCAUCAUCCUAUCUAGGGUUUUGCGGCCGGCCCAGCUGUCAUCGAUCUUCUUCUUCAUUCUAACCGGCCAGGGGCGGCGGCCGGGCUUAUAUAAGCUACCUCUUACUUGCCUAGAUCGAUCCAUGUAGCCAGCCCAGCCAGCUACCCCUUCCCAGGUCUCAUCACCUCCCUUAGCUUGUGCAACCAAAUGCCCCGGAAAUCUUCACCUUACCUUGUUCAAUUCGACUGCUACAUACUACUUUCUCUCUCGAUAUACGCGAGUGUAGAUCGAUCAAUCGAUCCUCGAUCUCACGCAUCUCCAUCCCCUUCUUUGUCCGGCGGCGACUGUGGUGUACACUACACGUGUGGCGCGUGGAAAGAUAAACAGAUCGUGCGGUCCGGUUGUUCUUGAUUCUUCGAUUCUCUCUCUCUCUCUCUCUCUCUCUCUCUCUGUAUAUAUAUCACUUCCCUUUUGAUCUUUUGAUAUAUAGCUGCUACUCGAUCUACAUAUAUAUCCUUCCUCAGAAUAUAAUGAAGGCCGGUGUCUAAUUUGAUGCGUUCGUGUUCCUCUUCGUUCUUCUUGAUUCAAAGCAAGCUAGCUGCUACUAGCUCCUCCUUCGUUCGUGUAUAUAUAUGGAUCCAAACAUAUAUAUAUAUAGCUAGAUAUAUACAUAGAUGUGGCAUCUUUCUUUCCCACUGAUGAUCUUCCCUUAUUAGACGGGAUUCAGAUAUUAUUAUUAGCCAGCUAGCUACAGUCGGUGCUUGCAGGUGCAGCACCAUCAAGAUUCACAUCAAACUCAUCUUCAGUUAUGCGCUGCUUCGCUGUUGCUAUACAUGCUGCUGCAUAGCUGUUGAUUGAGAUGAGAAUCUUGAUGAUGCUGCAUCAGCAGACACUCACUCAUCACCUUGAAGAUCGAGGCGGAUCCGGCCGGCCGGCGCAGCAAUUGCAUUGGGGACGAGUAUUUCCUUCCAAGCCUUCUUUCUUUCAGUUGUUAUCAUGCUUAUUAAUAUUUUUCACUUGAGUUAGUUGAGAUAAUUAUUAUUCCUGUGAUCUCUCUCUCUCUCUCUCUUUUUGCAUACUAUACAUUUAAUUUGUUUCAUCGAUCUUGCUAAGCAAAACGUACUGCAGAAUGAAUCAUGCAUCCUAGCUAUAUAGACUCCAUCGUGGACAAGUGUUUAUUAUUUGCCUGAUGUUGGGCCCAAAAAGAAGAAGUGUCGCCGCGCCGCAGAUGUUAGUAAUUUGCCCUUUAAUUUCCUCACUCAUCGCUCCAUUUCAAUUGAUACAUGGCAUCGUCAAACCCUCAUUCUCAAGGUAGCAGGCUGCUGCGGCAGUGGAAGGCGAUCGAGUCUCGCUUGCAUUGGUUUCAUUGUGUGGUUCAAUUCGUUUCCAGGUGGGACAACUAACCAAGCUUAUAUAUAAACACUAGUUCAUGAUUAUUAAGGCCAGCCGGGCCGGGGCAACAUGAUUUUAUGGUGUAUUAUGAGUUUACUAAUUGUGCACACACUUAUUUGCUGAUUUAUUUGAGGAUAAUUUCCUUUAUUUGGAUCGAAGAAGUGUCCAUAUAUCAUUAUUAAUAAGCUUGCUUACACCGAGCUUAAAUAAAGGUUCUAGUUAAUUUGCGCAUAUAGUAUAGUCCAUGUAACCUAGCUACGAGUAGUAUAAAUUUCAUUCGGUUUGCUGUCUUGCUCGCUCUUCCUAGUGUUUCCCCCCUUUUUGAUUUUGAAAUAUAUGGUACAUCAUCUUUAAUUUGGUCUAUAUAUAUCCGGCCUCCCUCAAGAUAGAUUAAUCCAGUACUAAUACUACUGGUAUAUAAGAUACAUUAAUUGGCAAUCUAUAUAACUAAAUAAUUACUUUAUGUAUUCAAAGAGUUCUGUUUCCUUACUAGCUAGCUCAUUCUCUGCCAUCUACAUAUACUUAUUUAUUUCUUCUUGUGUCCCAAAGCAAACCCAAUAUAUGUGCCAACACUGCACUCGCGUCGGCAUCAUCAUCUGAUUGACGUACAGAUAUGCUGAUCUACAAAAUAUUCCCAAUCAUCAUUAGUUUAGAUGUUGUGUCACCUUAGCUAACUGCAUAUAUUCUCUAGCUGUAUCUGUAUGUACUCUCUGCUGCUACCUCAGACAUUAUAUAUGUUGCAUUGUACGCACUCUUAUAUCCAUUUCCUAUAUAUAUAAAGCCGGCCGGGUGCCAUGCAUCCAAUGCAACAAAUUAAAGACUGCAGGCAUGCAUACUCUUUGUUUGAGUAGCUAGCUAGUUGUGUCUAGACAGCAUAUGCUUGCCUAAGCUAGCUAUUUGUUCCUGAUGCCUGUAUGUGUGUUUAAUUUCCUCCCACACACAACCAAUAGUGCAGUGCAGACAGCAUCUUAUCUCCCUCACCAGAGAGGCUAGCUGCUUUAUUUUUUUCUUAGUAUGAGUAGUCAUCAUAUAAGCUUAAUCAUUCCUGGUAAUAGAUGGUAAACUGACCAACAAGUUUAAUUAAUUUCUCCCAGAUUUGUGUGUGAUCGAAAUAUAUAAGAUGGAAAUAUCUUCUGAUAAAUAUAUAUAUGUGGUGUUGAUGAGUUGGUCAUGCAGUACUUGGUUGUUUGUGAAAUCUCAAGCAGGUGGGCCACUGCGACUACCAACAAGCUGCAGCAGCCAUGCAUGAUAUCAUGAGAGGAAGAAGAGAAUAACACAAUACCGGCCGGCCGGGAAGCAAGAAGGGGCAUAUGAUUCAGCAACAGCAGUGGCAUCAGUUGAUGGAGUAUGAUGAUGAAGAGAAAUCAGCAGUGGCAAUGCCUGUGCCUGUGCCUGGGUAGAAGAGAGAUGCUAGCUAGCUAGCUGCUGCUUCAACUUGUUGGAGUGGACCAUUGCAUUGCAUUGCAUUGCAUAGAUGCAUAUGGAUGGAUCAUAUCGAUCGAUCGAUCGAUCGAUCUCGACUGAUGGAUGCAGCAGGGUGGUGGUACGUACGCAGUACAUUGCUAUUAUUGUGCCAAAGGAAGGGGACCAAUAUACACAUAAUGCACACACCAGAUGAGCUGCAAGGUGAGGGACAAACCUUGCAGACUCUGGUGGUGGUGGUACAACGUACUACUGAUUACUGGCCCAACAAUGCAAGCUAAAGACACGGAUGGAUGGUCGAUCAGAUCGAUCGCGUGCAUUGCAUUGGGUAGCAAACAUGCAGGUACUGAAUACUAUACAUACUGAUGCUCAAAAUUGCUGAUGAUGCAUGUUAUGAUGAAUACUAUACAUACUGAUGAUGCAUGUGUUAUAUAUCUGUUGAUGAGCAUUGUUCGCUAAAUGGUCAUUUAGCCCGUUUACAUAAGGUUUAAGUGUUAAACAGUGGUACGCCAUUUCCGUUUAAUUGGUGUUUUGACUAUUUAAAUGGUCAUUUUGCCAGAAUAAUAGACUAAACAGUAUGUGACCGACGGUUUA
Molecule: long non-coding RNA, 3571 nt
Organism: Panicum virgatum (switchgrass)
Lineage: Eukaryota; Viridiplantae; Streptophyta; Magnoliopsida; Poales; Poaceae
Exons: 2
Source: RefSeq, a predicted model, not a curated record